Callorhinus ursinus (northern fur seal) is the source of this 240-nucleotide long non-coding RNA. RefSeq lists it as uncharacterized. The record is from RefSeq and is a predicted model, not a curated record. Lineage: Eukaryota; Metazoa; Chordata; Mammalia; Carnivora; Otariidae.
CAGCCGAAUUGCGGAACCCCCUGAGGCUGCUGCCGCCUGACAACUUUCUUGGACUGUGGACCUGAGGGCAUAACAUAUUGAAGAAACCCAGCAAUUUCUAACUGGUUAUCAUGUUGAGUUCAUUUAUUUGAAACAGACGGGGCCAACGUCCACCCUGAAUUCUUGCACUUCAGAGAAUUUCCAAAGGCAAGAUCUGAUAAGAAUCCUCAAGAUUUGCCAUCUGAAUUUAAAUCAAGGUAG